UUAACCAUGAUAACGACAAUGAUAGCUUGAAAAAAGUUGGUCCUUUGAUCCAAAAAUACAAAAAAAAGAAAGAUAUUGAAGCAUUCCAGAUACCUAAAGAACCUAAUCAAACAUCGCAAGUAUAUAUAGCUUAUUAGAGCAACUUCAAGAAUCUCUUAAAAAAUUUUCCCCAAAAAUAUUAUGUACUGAGGGUUCGAUCUCCUAAAAUUUU
This 211-nucleotide long non-coding RNA is filed under the name Setaria italica (foxtail millet). RNAcentral's name for it is "long non-coding RNA (SITA_LNC007152)". The record is from RNAcentral. Lineage: Eukaryota; Viridiplantae; Streptophyta; Magnoliopsida; Poales; Poaceae.